This 253-nucleotide ribosomal RNA is filed under the name uncultured bacterium. Its description in RNAcentral is "partial 16S ribosomal RNA". It matches the Rfam family "Bacterial small subunit ribosomal RNA", at positions 524 to 776 of the family's 1533-position model. The record is from RNAcentral.
UACGGGGGGUGCAAGCGUUAUUCGGAAUUAUUGGGCGUAAAGGGCGCGUAGGCGGUUGAAUAAGUCAGAUGUGAAAGCCCUUGGCUUAACCAAGGAAGUGUAUUUGAUACUAUUUGACUUGAGUAUGGGAGAGGGAAGUGGAAUUCCUGGUGUAGUGGUGAAAUUCGUAGAUAUCAGGAGGAACACCGGUGGCGAAAGCGACUUCCUGGACCAAUACUGACGCUGAGGCGCGAAGGCGUGGGAAGCAAACAGG